Molecule: ribosomal RNA, 253 nt
Filed under: uncultured bacterium
Lineage: Bacteria
Description: partial 16S ribosomal RNA
Rfam family: Bacterial small subunit ribosomal RNA
Source: RNAcentral
UACGAAGGGGGCUAGCGUUGUUCGGAAUUACUGGGCGUAAAGCGUAUGCAGGCGGAUCAUUAAGUCGGGGGUGAAAUCCCGAGGCUCAACCUCGGAACUGCCUUCGAUACUGAUGAUCUUGAGUCCGGGAGAGGUGAGUGGAACUGCGAGUGUAGAGGUGAAAUUCGUAGAUAUUCGCAAGAACACCAGUGGCGAAGGCGGCUCACUGGCCCGGUACUGACGCUGAGAUACGAAAGCGUGGGGAGCAAACAGG